UCAUCUGUUAGCUCUUGCAGUACCCUGGAACAUCGUUCACCAGGGCCAGGAUGGAUUUGCUGUACACAGGAGUGAUCCUUUUCACCUGCCAUGUCCCUAGGUGUGUGAGAAUCUACAAUGGAGCCGAAAGAAUUACAUCUUCCUGGUUCACACUCAGAAGGAUGCAUCUUUCAACAUUUUGAGAAUAAAUGGAAGAAAAAGGCUUAAAAGUAAAGUACCUUAAAACAUCUGAAUUUAAGAGGUCUCUAAGUCCACUGAUGACAGGAAAAUCUUCAGUGGUUCCAGAGACAAACUGCUGGAAAUCCUGCACAUUUAUUUUCUAGAAGGAAGUGAGCUGAUGAGGAGAGUGAUCUCUUCUGAGAGAUCCUCCCUUUAAAAAUCUGUAAAGGGGCUUCCCUGGUGGCGCAGUGGUUGGGAGUCCGCCUGCCGAUGCGGGGGGCGCGGGUUCUUGCCCCGGGGCGGGAAGAUCCCACAUGCCGCGG
Long non-coding RNA from Globicephala melas (long-finned pilot whale), 482 nucleotides. RefSeq lists it as uncharacterized. The record is from RefSeq and is a predicted model, not a curated record. NCBI's taxonomy places the organism in Eukaryota, Metazoa, Chordata, Mammalia, Artiodactyla, Delphinidae.